UGCAAGUCGAACGAGCUUCCGUUGAAUGACGUGCUUGCACUGAUUUCAACAAUGAAGCGAGUGGCGAACUGGUGAGUAACACGUGGGGAAUCUGCCCAGAAGCAGGGGAUAACACUUGGAAACAGGUGCUAAUACCGUAUAACAACAAAAUCCGCAUGGAUUUUGUUUGAAAGGUGGCUUCGGCUAUCACUUCUGGAUGAUCCCGCGGCGUAUUAGUUAGUUGGUGAGGUAAAGGCCCACCAAGACGAUGAUACGUAGCCGACCUGAGAGGGUAAUCGGCCACAUUGGGACUGAGACACGGCCCAAACUCCUACGGGAGGCAGCAGUAGGGAAUCUUCCACAAUGGACGAAAGUCUGAUGGAGCAAUGCCGCGUGAGUGAAGAAGGGUUUCGGCUCGUAAAACUCUGUUGUUAAAGAAGAACACCUUUGAGAGUAACUGUUCAAGGGUUGACGGUAUUUAACCAGAAAGCCACGGCUAACUACGUGCCAGCAGCCGCGGUAAUACGUAGGUGGCAAGCGUUGUCCGGAUUUAUUGGGCGUAAAGCGAGCGCAGGCGGUUUUUUAAGUCUGAUGUGAAAGCCUUCGGCUUAACCGGAGAAGUGCAUCGGAAACUGGGAGACUUGAGUGCAGAAGAGGACAGUGGAACUCCAUGUGUAGCGGUGGAAUGCGUAGAUAUAUGGAAGAACACCAGUGGCGAAGGCGGCUGUCUAGUCUGUAACU
RNAcentral lists this ribosomal RNA (720 nucleotides) under Levilactobacillus brevis. RNAcentral describes it as "bacterial SSU rRNA". It matches the Rfam family "Bacterial small subunit ribosomal RNA", at positions 56 to 741 of the family's 1533-position model. Lineage: Bacteria; Bacillati; Bacillota; Bacilli; Lactobacillales; Lactobacillaceae. The record is from RNAcentral.